Molecule: ribosomal RNA, 497 nt
Filed under: uncultured bacterium
Lineage: Bacteria
Description: partial 16S ribosomal RNA
Rfam family: Bacterial small subunit ribosomal RNA
Source: RNAcentral
GAUGAACGCUGGCGGCGUGCCUAAUACAUGCAAGUCGAGCGAACAGACGAGGAGCUUGCUCCUUCGACGUUAGCGGCGGACGGGUGAGUAACACGUAGGUAACCUACCUAUAAGACUGGGAUAACUUCGGGAAACCGGAGCUAAUACCGGAUAAUAUUUUGAACCGCAUGGUUCGAUAGUGAAAGAUGGCUUUGCUAUCACUUAUAGAUGGAUCUGCGCCGUAUUAGCUAGUUGGUAAGGUAACGGCUUACCAAGGCAACGAUACGUAGCCGACCUGAGAGGGUGAUCGGCCACACUGGAACUGAGACACGGUCCAGACUCCUACGGGAGGCAGCAGUAGGGAAUCUUCCGCAAUGGGCGAAGGCCUGACGGAGCAACGCCGCGUGAGUGAUGAAGGUCUUCGGAUCGUAAAACUCUGUUAUUAGGGAAGAACAAACGUGUAAGUAACUGUGCACGUCUUGACGGUACCUAAUCAGAAAGCCACGGCUAACUACGUG